Felis catus (domestic cat) is the source of this 4314-nucleotide long non-coding RNA. RefSeq lists it as uncharacterized. The record is from RefSeq and is a predicted model, not a curated record. Lineage: Eukaryota; Metazoa; Chordata; Mammalia; Carnivora; Felidae. The transcript is spliced from 5 exons.
UAAAAUAAUUUAAAAAAUAGUAAUCUGAUUUUUUAAAAAAUGAUACACCUCUAAUUAAAAAAAAAAAAAAAACAAACCCAACAAGUUCACUAAUGGCCAAAAACUUUCUGGAAGAUAUAUGGGGAGGUUAUAAUGAAGUAUACUAAAUAUAUAGUAAAGCAUGGAAGACAAAGUAUAUAAGCUAAUUGUCUACAAAAUGGACACCUAUGUGACUACCAACCAAAUGAAGAGGUAAAUCACCACUAGCAUCACAGAAACCUCAGUAUUUUCUCACAAUUACUACCCUCUCUGUCCCUUACAAAGUUAACCAUCUACUGAUAUACCUAAGCUUAUACCCUUAAAUAUUAUAGUUUUACCUGUUUUUGAAAUGUAUAUUAAAUGGGAUUAUACAGUUUUUUGCUCUAUAUUAAAUGCUUUUGCUGUGUAUUGUUUCUGAGUUCCAUAUCUGCUAUUACAUAUAGCUGCUAUUCAUAUUAUUUGCUGUAGAAUAUUACAUUGAAUAUACACAACUCUCCCAUUCCACUGUAGAUGGAUAUUUGGGUUGAUUCCACUGUUUGACAGAUUGUACUGUUAUGAGCAUUCGUGUACAUAUUUAAUUGGUGUUCUGUACUUAAAUUUCUGUUGUAUUAUUUCUGGAAGUGGGAUUGUAGUUGUUUAGUGGUAUCUCAUUAUGGUUUUAACUUGAAUUUCCUUGAUUACAAAUGAAAUUGAGCACCUUUACCCAUUGGCUGAUUAGAUUUCCUGUUUUGUAUACUGCCCAGUCAAAUCUCUUGCCUAUUUUUCUAUUGUAUUAGAGUGUUUUAUGAAUUUCUGUCAGUUCUGUGUUGCAGAUAGCUUUCCCACUCUGAUUGGUCUUUCAGUCUUUUAAUGGUGUGUUUUGAUUAACCAAAUGAUCUUAAUUUUAGCAUAUUCAAAUUCAUUAUUUUCCUGUAUGAUUAUUGAUUUUUGUGCAAUGCCUCAAGGUCAUGAAGAUAUCCGGUAUUAAUUUCUAGACGUUCUAGCAUUGUCUUGCUCUUACAUUCUAUAAUUCAUUUGGAAUUGUUUUUUUGUUAUUAGGUGAGGUAGGCAUUAGAUUUCAUUUUUUUCCUUGUAGUUAUCUAAUUGUCCACUAGGACUCUCUUUUUCCUUUGCUUUUCUGCAGUACCACCUUUGUUGUGAAUUAAUGUCUAUGUUUCUAUGGAUCUGUUUCCGGGCUUUCUGUUCUGUCCCAUUGGUUUGUUUGUCUGCCUUUACACCAAUAACUCACUGUUUUGUUUCUUAUCACCUUGUUCUUCAAGAAUAUUUUGGCAAAUCUUGAUUUUUUUUUCAUUUUCAUAUAAAUUUUAGGACCAGUGUGUAAAGUUCACAGCAACAAAAAAUUGGAGAGUUUCAGUUUUGCUUAGGAUGGAGAAGACUGGGAAAAGCAUCAUAUCUGACUUAGAACAAGAAAAAACUGUAUGAUAUACAAAAUCAUAACUUUUCUUAAACCCACUAGAGAUCCUAAGUUACAGUGCAACCAAGUAGUAUGAGAUAUAUGAAAAGACAGACCUCUCCAAGGAGACACAGGAUGCAAGCAUACCUUUGGCAAAACACAGAAGAGAUGUUAAGCUCCCUACAGACAGAUGGGAAGCUAUACAGAAACAUUGUAAACCACUACGAGAACAUGUUAUUAGGCUGUCUCUGCUGAUGAAGGGCCAAGGAAAGAAAUCAGAGCUCCUGGUUCCUUAAAGUUUACUGGCACGGUCUCUGAUCCGGGUAUCACUUGGAAAGCUGUGAAUCAAGUGUAAUCGAUUAACAUCCAUCCGCUCGCCUAUUUAAUGAACUACCUCAUGCUUUAAAGAAAGAUUGGAGAAUGAAGACAGAUUCUCUAAAUGUCUUACAAGAAGGAAAUCCUUGAAGAUUUUGCAAUCACUAAAAAGUGUACAGAGCUGCUGCAAAUAAUAUAUGCUUUUCAUUCAUUCUCUGUGUCAAAUCUCCAAGAAAGGUGGCAUCCCAGGGCCAGGAGACCAGACUUUCAAGGUUGGUGACAGUAGAUCUUACACUGAUGAAAUCAAAUGUUUUGCUGGGAAUAUUGAUAAAACGAUUCAUUUUUACUGAGGGCUAUUCACAUUGAUAGAUGGUCAGAUGCAAGAAGCAAAAUAAAUAUGGAUGAUCCUGGCAUUACUGCCUCUGACACAUUUUUUUUAUUCCUUUAAUAUUUUUCUAUACAAUCUGUAGGUGUGGAUGAAUGCCAAACUGCAUUUAAUUUUCCUAUGCCUCCUGGAAUUGUGGAUGUGAGUUUUAUGUACUAAUUCUUACAGGAAAAGACAUUUUUCUAUACGAAGAUAUGGUGCUUCAGCUUGAUAAUAUGACUGUUGCUUUCUAAAUAUGUUAAAUUUUAAUUAACAGAAUGUGUGUCUAAUGAGAUAUGCAGAUUAAUUGAAAUAUAGAAUUAUUAAGACCUUCCUAACACAAACUUUUUAUAAUUCCCUACCUUAAUAAAUUAUAUUCAGUAUAGUCUAUUUACCUUCCUUUGAUUAAUCUCAAUUUUGUCAUGCUUCAGGCUAUAAAUAAUCAUUUCUGCUUCUACUAUAAUAUAUAUGCAUAAAUAGAGGGAGAAAGCAAUUCCCCUCUCUUUAUUUCCAGGAUGUAGCCUCAGAAUUGCAUUUAAAACAACAACUAAAAUCCUUUCUGUCCAUUUGUUUUCUUUUUGUUACCUCUUUAACCCACAAGCUGAGUACUGUCCCAAAUUCAAUUUCAUUGGGAAUUUAGUUAUUUGAGGUUUUAAAAUCACUGUUAAUCCUUUUUUUCAAUUUCAAUUGGAAGUCAUACAUUUUUAUAAGAUAUAGUGAAGUUGCUGACUAAGUCAAACAAAUAAGCCUCCCCUGAGUUUUAGAAAGCAAGCGUUUUUAAACAAAAUCCUAAGUUAGAUGACCUGAAAUGCGAAUUUAUCUGCUGUUUGAAUGCUGUAAUCAUCUCUGGUCUUUCUCCUAACUCUUCAUUCAUUGUUCAGGCAAUGAAUAUUUAUCGAGUGUUUACACCUUGUCAGACAGUGUGAGAUGCUAGGGAACACAGAAAUGACAAAUGACAAUCUUGUCUUCACUGCACUUAAAGGCUAGUAGGGCAUCAGACUGUUCAGCAUCAAUGGUUGAUAGACUACAGUCAAGGCUAGAUUUCAAGUUAAUUGUUCUCAGUCAAUAAAAAAACCACAAAAUUUCAGCAGCCUUCCUGAAAAAUUAAGGCUUUCUGGUGGCAAAUGUUUGCAAGAGUCUUCAACAAAUAAUGGUAUUAGAUCAGUGGUUUUCAAACUCUAGUAUGCCUUGGAUUACUAGAGGGCUUAUUAAAACAGAUUCCUGUGCCCCUCACCAGAGGGGUUGAUUCAGCAGGUCUGGGGUUGGAGAUGGAGUGGAGGGGAAAUUUCAUUUCUAGGAAGUCCCCAGGUGAUAUACAGACUGCUGGUUUGGGAACUGCACUUUGAGAAGCACUGGUCUAAAGUAUUUUGUUCCUCAGUAGACCCUCCCUUUGGUGAUGAUGAUAAUGCUAACAAUAUUCAUGUAGUGAGCUCCUAUGGAGUGACAGGUACCUUGCCUGUUACAUCCUUCAUUACAUUCAGUUCUCACAACAACUUCAUGGAAUAGAUGCGAUUACUCUACUCAUUCGACAAGUAAGGAAAUACACUUGGAGAGGUUAAUUAAUUUGCUCAAUGUCACAGAGCUAGUAAGUGACAAAAGCCAGGAUUUGAAUUUAAAUUUUCCUGUUACAUGUCUGUGGUUCCAACCACAGUGUUGUUCUGACUUCCUAUGAUGGCAAGCACACCUGGGCAGUGAUGGGCACAGUCUCCUUAAGAGACACCCAUGGGUGUCCACUGGACCUGUGUCCACAUGCACGUACACCUAGGGGAUUCUGAAUAGAUGGCUUUUUAGGUUCUCAUGGGAAGGAGAUAGCAGAACUUCCAUUGUCAUCUAUUCUAAUGGCUAAUAAGCUUUUUGUGAUGGGAAAAAAGUUUUAAUUAGAUAAAGUGUUUCUGUUUUACCAUUUUUUAAAAGCCAUUCAGUCACAGAGAAUUAGAUAACCGUAGCACAGCACACCCAGUUGAAUUGAACCCGUAUCUCAAUGAAACAGGAUUUGACAGUGAGGGCUGGAACCAGGUGUGCUGCUUUAUCCAAAAGGUCAAACACCCCUUUCCAGUCCUCAUCCCCUUGCAACCCAUUAAAAGGUGUCUUUGAAAUUAAUUUGAGCUCUUUGGACCUGAGUUAAAAUACUUGUUGCAUAUCACCUAACAUAAAAAUAGUAAUUAUUUGAUAUAUUAAUUAAUAGUUCUGUCAGGAAGGCUCAGUGAUCUUACUCACAGGGUGA